UUUCAUAGCAAUCGUGUACAAUGAACAAACAACUUUGGCAUGCAUGGUCACUCCGAUCUGACUAUGCUUCCAAUCUAUCAACCAAUGCAAUGCCUACAAUCCUAUAGUUAUUCAUUCAUUAUGCAAGAAAGAAAGUUGCAUGCCAAAGAGCAAGGCGGAUGCCCGAGGUCAAGAAUGGCAUGGCUUUCAGCAGCAGCAUCCACCAUGACGGUUCCCUGGUUCUUUCGGUUCUGGUACACACAUACCACCACAAGAAAAUGACUGUUCUUGCUACUGCCGCAGGGCCAGAGAGGAGUCGCUCCUGUAUAUCAUAUUCAGGGGAAUCAGAAGAUAGAUGAAGAGGGCAAAAUGGGAUGAACAAGAACACUAGCUCACAUGGAAUCAUGUUUUUGAGUUUACACUCCCUAUUGUCUGUCCGACGAACCAACUAGCAACCAAACUACUUGCUAACUGCUACCCAAGCUAGCGGCUAACGGAUAAAAGAGAAUGCCUAGUUGUAUCUGAUUGAAUGACCGCUAUCGGGUCAAACUAGCAACAAGAGUCACAUAAGUACUAUGAGA
This 560-nucleotide long non-coding RNA is filed under the name Amborella trichopoda. Its description in RNAcentral is "long non-coding RNA (ATRI_LNC004608)". The record is from RNAcentral. Lineage: Eukaryota; Viridiplantae; Streptophyta; Magnoliopsida; Amborellales; Amborellaceae.